AGAGUUUGAUUAUGGCUCAGGAUGAACGCUAGCUACAGGCUUAACACAUGCAAGUCGAGGGGUAGCAGGGUAGCAAUACCGCUGACGACCGGCGCACGGGUGAGUAACACGUAUCCAACCUUCCCAUAACUCAGGGAUAGCCUUUCGAAAGAAAGAUUAAUACCUGAUAGUACUUUUUCAAGGCAUCUUGAGAAAGUUAAAGAUUUAUUGGUUAUGGAUGGGGAUGCGUUCCAUUAGAUAGUUGGUGAGGUAACGGCUCACCAAGUCUUCGAUGGAUAGGGGUUCUGAGAGGAAGGUCCCCCACAUUGGUACUGAGACACGGACCAAACUCCUACGGGAGGCAGCAGUGAGGAAUAUUGGUCAAUGGGCGAGAGCCUGAACCAGCCAAGUAGCGUGAAGGAUGAAGGUCCUAUGGAUUGUAAACUUCUUUUAUAGUAGAAUAAAGUGAUCCACGUGUGGAUUUUUGUAUGUAUACUAUGAAUAAGGAUCGGCUAACUCCGUGCCAGCAGCCGC
RNAcentral lists this ribosomal RNA (513 nucleotides) under uncultured bacterium. Its description in RNAcentral is "bacterial SSU rRNA". It matches the Rfam family "Bacterial small subunit ribosomal RNA", at positions 8 to 518 of the family's 1533-position model. The record is from RNAcentral.